GACAGAGGGGGCAAGCGUUGCUCGGAAUCACUGGGCGUAAAGGGCGCGUAGGCGGGCUGGCAAGUCGGUCGUGAAAUCCUUCGGCUCAACCGAAGAACGUCGGCCGAUACUGCCGUUCUUGAGGGAUGCAGAGGAGCUUGGAAUUCCCGGUGUAGCGGUGAAAUGUGUAGAGAUCGGGGGGAACACCGGUGGUGAAGGCGGGUCUCUGGGCAUCUCCUGACGCUGAGGCGCGAAAGCGUGGGGAGCAAACGGG
Molecule: ribosomal RNA, 253 nt
Filed under: uncultured bacterium
Lineage: Bacteria
Description: partial 16S ribosomal RNA
Rfam family: Bacterial small subunit ribosomal RNA
Source: RNAcentral